GUAUUCACGUUGGCCACACAUAUACUAACAUUGGAAUGAUACAGAGAAGAUUAGCAUACCCCACUGUGCAAGGAUGGCACGCCAAUUCGUGAAGCAUUCCAUAUUUUU
This 108-nucleotide small nuclear RNA is filed under the name Prolemur simus (greater bamboo lemur). Lineage: Eukaryota; Metazoa; Chordata; Mammalia; Primates; Lemuridae. The record is from RNAcentral.